UACGGAGGGUGCGAGCGUUGUUCGGAUUUACUGGGCGUAAAGCGUAUGUAGGCGGUUUGUUAAGUCGAAUGUGAAAUGUUGAGGCUCAACCUCGAAACUGCACUCGAUACUGGCAAACUAGAGGGCAAUAGAGGAGAGUAGAAUUCCCAGUGUAGCGGUGAAAUGCGUAGAUAUUGGGAGGAAUACCGGUUGCGAAGGCGACUCUCUGGGUUGUUCCUGACGCUGAGGUACGAAAGCGUGGGGAGCAAACGGG
This 253-nucleotide ribosomal RNA is filed under the name uncultured bacterium. RNAcentral's name for it is "partial 16S ribosomal RNA". It matches the Rfam family "Bacterial small subunit ribosomal RNA", at positions 524 to 776 of the family's 1533-position model. The record is from RNAcentral.